AUUUAAAUAGUUUAAUAAAAAUUUUGAUUUGUGGAAUCAGGGAUAUGAGUUUUCAUUUUAAAUA
RNAcentral lists this transfer RNA (64 nucleotides) under Cerambycidae sp. 4 KM-2017. RNAcentral's name for it is "tRNA-His". The record is from RNAcentral. Lineage: Eukaryota; Metazoa; Arthropoda; Insecta; Coleoptera; Cerambycidae.